GACGAACGCUGGCGGCGUGCUUAACACAUGCAAGUCGAACGGAAAGGCCCUGCUUUUGUGGGGUGCUCGAGUGGCGAACGGGUGAGUAACACGUGAGUAACCUGCCCUUGACUUUGGGAUAACUUCAGGAAACUGGGGCUAAUACCGGAUAGGAGCUCCUGCUGCAUGGUGGGGGUUGGAAAGUUUCGGCGGUUGGGGAUGGACUCGCGGCUUAUCAGCUUGUUGGUGGGGUAGUGGCUUACCAAGGCUUUGACGGGUAGCCGGCCUGAGAGGGUGACCGGCCACAUUGGGACUGAGAUACGGCGCAGACUACUACGGGAGGCAGCAGUGGGGAAUAUUGCACAAUGGGCGGAAGCCUGAUGCAGCAACGCCGCGUGCGGGAUGACGGCCUUCGGGUUGUAAACCGCUUUCGCCUGUGACGAAGCGUGAGUGACGGUAAUGGGUAAAGAAGCACCGGCUAACUACGUG
RNAcentral lists this ribosomal RNA (468 nucleotides) under uncultured bacterium. RNAcentral describes it as "partial 16S ribosomal RNA". It matches the Rfam family "Bacterial small subunit ribosomal RNA", at positions 28 to 507 of the family's 1533-position model. The record is from RNAcentral.